GUUCAUUUUAAUGUACAGCACUUUUUAUUUAGCUUCCUCAUCUGUAUGGUCCCUUGUGUCCCAGCAGCUGAUGGCUGUUCACAUGCAGAUUACAGCUGUCCUUGAAGGUUGUUCAACAGGUUGCACUUGUGGACAUCUAAUUAAUAAUAUGUGUAUUCAUACCGUAUAAUAAUAUGUGUCUGUAAAUAAUAGUGCAUUUACAUAGUGAGGUGGGAAUAAAUAGCUGCCCUGAAGAAGAAUCCCAAUAUCACGUAUCAGUUAGAUGACCAAGUUCAGGGCCCGUGCAACUGCAGCAGCUCGGCUCUGGAGACCGGAUCCGUUGGGGAUACGAUGGACCACACCCACAUAGUGAUUAGACCGUCUGAUUGGACGCCAUGUGGACGUCUUGACCACUACCAUGUCUUUCAUGCAAAUUUAAGAAGGGGCCGAGAGCGUAGAAGACAAACGAGGAAAAACAUGGCAGAAAGGGGGACUCUGGAGACAGCUGUUGGAGAGGUUAGUUAGAGAUUUCCAGCCAUUAACUUCAGUGGUAGCCAGCUCGCCCACUUAAAGCAGAUAAGGGCCGGGGCACGCCAAAGCCCCCCUAUGAAAAGGAACGGGACCCAGCUUGAUCUUGUGGGGGGAAAUUGUUUACAAGUGGGACCCUCCAACCCACAAUGGACCCCUGCAAGAAAGAGGGACAG
RNAcentral lists this long non-coding RNA (683 nucleotides) under Betta splendens (Siamese fighting fish). RNAcentral describes it as "lncRNA (ENSBSLG00000014141.1)". Lineage: Eukaryota; Metazoa; Chordata; Actinopteri; Anabantiformes; Osphronemidae. The record is from RNAcentral.